RNAcentral lists this ribosomal RNA (388 nucleotides) under uncultured bacterium. RNAcentral describes it as "bacterial SSU rRNA". It matches the Rfam family "Bacterial small subunit ribosomal RNA", at positions 30 to 417 of the family's 1533-position model. The record is from RNAcentral.
AUUGAACGCUGGCGGCAUGCCUUACACAUGCAAGUCGGAACGGCAGCACGGGAGCAAUCCUGGUGGCGAGUGGCGAACGGGUGAGUAAUGUAUCGGAACGUACCUUUCAGUGGGGGAUAACGUAGCGAAAGUUACGCUAAUACCGCAUAUUCUGUGAGCAGGAAAGCAGGGGAUCGCAAGACCUUGCGCUGAUUGAGCGGCCGAUAUCAGAUUAGCUAGUUGGUGAGGUAAAGGCUCACCAAGGCGACGAUCUGUAGCGGGUCUGAGAGGAUGAUCCGCCACACUGGAACUGAGACACGGUCCAGACUCCUACGGGAGGCAGCAGUGGGGAAUUUUGGACAAUGGGCGCAAGCCUGAUCCAGCCAUGCCGCGUGAGUGAAGAAGGCCU